Non-coding RNA from Pelodiscus sinensis (Chinese soft-shelled turtle), 519 nucleotides. NCBI's taxonomy places the organism in Eukaryota, Metazoa, Chordata, Testudines, Trionychidae. The record is from RefSeq and is a predicted model, not a curated record.
GGGGACUGGACGGCAGGACCAAGCACCACCUAAAUCAUCCCAGAUAGAUACUUAAAAGAGAAGGCCCCUACCCACUAUUCAAAUGCUGAGGCCUGGAAGCCUGUGGGUACUGGACCAGGCUGGCAGGAAGUGGCACAAACACCCAGUGGAAAGACCCUGUCCCAUGAUUGCUUUUUGUUACAGGGUCUUUGCCAUCUGCCUUCAUGAACUGAAGUGCUGGAACUCCUGAUUUCGUGCAGCAAGAAAAAGGUGGCCUAGCAAGCAGCAGUAAUAUUCAAUUAAAACAGAUGGGAAAUCUACUAGAACUGGAAAAAUCACAAAACAUAGUAAUUGCACAGCUGCAGUUCUUAUCAAGCCACUGAUUCUUUCUAGUGUUUUUACUUAACAGGAUUCCUCAUAAUCUGACACAGCCCAGAGAACAGUUUGAGGAGUCCAUAUACACUGAGGCAAACCAUGAGGCAGUAAUUUCUUAAAAUCAACCAGAAUCCAUGUUAUGAUAUACAGAGUGGUCACACCAGA